GAAUGAAGAACGUAGCGAAAUGCGAUACGUAGUGUGAAUUGCAGAAUUCCGUGAACCAUCGAAUCUUUGAACGCAUAUUGCGCUCGAGGCUUCGGCCGAGAGCAUGUCUGCCUCAGCGUCGGUCCAUCCCCUCACACCCUCCCUUUGUUUUACAAGUGGGCUGGGCUGUGGAUCUGGCCGUGUCGGCUGCCCAUUGUGGCCGAGUCGGCUGAAGCUCAGAGGCUUGAGCAAGCGCCCAUUCAACCGGGCAUCAACUAGGUGGGUGGCCUUCGGGCUGCGAAGCCGUUGAUGGCCGGGGGACUUGCUGGGGGCCUGCAGGAACACCGCCCCCCCGACAGGAGGGCUGGUGGCGACUCACCUUUCGACCUGAGAUCAGGCAAGAACACCCGCUGAACUUAAGCAUAUCAAUAAGCGGAGGA
This 419-nucleotide unclassified non-coding RNA is filed under the name soil metagenome. RNAcentral describes it as "partial contains 5.8S ribosomal RNA, internal transcribed spacer 2, and large subunit ribosomal RNA". The stretch from base 3 to 121 matches the Rfam family "5.8S ribosomal RNA", at positions 36 to 154 of the family's 154-position model. The record is from RNAcentral.